Molecule: ribosomal RNA, 501 nt
Filed under: Salmonella enterica subsp. enterica serovar Enteritidis
Lineage: Bacteria; Pseudomonadati; Pseudomonadota; Gammaproteobacteria; Enterobacterales; Enterobacteriaceae
Description: partial 23S ribosomal RNA
Rfam family: Bacterial large subunit ribosomal RNA
Source: RNAcentral
CCCGAAACCCGGUGAUCUAGCCAUGGGCAGGUUGAAGGUUGGGUAACACUAACUGGAGGACCGAACCGACUAAUGUUGAAAAAUUAGCGGAUGACCUGUGGCUGGGGGUGAAAGGCCAAUCAAACCGGGAGAUAGCUGGUUCUCCCCGAAAGCUAUUUAGGUAGCGCCUCGUGAAUUCAUCUCCGGGGGUAGAGCACUGUUUCGGCUAGGGGGCCAUCCCGGCUUACCAACCCGAUGCAAACUGCGAAUACCGGAGAAUGUUAUCACGGGAGACACACGGCGGGUGCUAACGUCCGUCGUGAAGAGGGAAACAACCCAGACCGCCAGCUAAGGUCCCAAAGUCAUGGUUAAGUGGGAAACGAUGUGGGAAGGCCCAGACAGCCAGGAUGUUGGCUUAGAAGCAGCCAUCAUUUAAAGAAAGCGUAAUAGCUCACUGGUCGAGUCGGCCUGCGCGGAAGAUGUAACGGGGCUAAACCAUGCACCGAAGCUGCGGCAGCGACA